GACUUUUCUGAAGACAAUGAGCUAUCUCAGUUAAUUCAAUCAGUUACAGAUCAAACUCCGUGUUCUACUGUGUUCCCCAUUCUCACUACUGCACUUGAAUAGCACUUAA
Homo sapiens (human) is the source of this 109-nucleotide unclassified non-coding RNA. It matches the Rfam family "Y RNA". From Rfam's summary of the family: Y RNAs are components of the Ro ribonucleoprotein particle (Ro RNP), in association with Ro60 and La proteins. The Y RNAs and Ro60 and La proteins are well conserved, but the function of the Ro RNP is not known. The record is from Ensembl. Lineage: Eukaryota; Metazoa; Chordata; Mammalia; Primates; Hominidae.